RNAcentral lists this ribosomal RNA (595 nucleotides) under Bacillus halotolerans. Its description in RNAcentral is "bacterial SSU rRNA". It matches the Rfam family "Bacterial small subunit ribosomal RNA", at positions 42 to 617 of the family's 1533-position model. Lineage: Bacteria; Bacillati; Bacillota; Bacilli; Caryophanales; Bacillaceae. The record is from RNAcentral.
GCGCUUGCUAAUACAUGCAAGUCGAGCGGACAGAUGGGAGCUUGCUCCCUGAUGUUAGCGGCGGACGGGUGAGUAACACGUGGGUAACCUGCCUGUAAGACUGGGAUAACUCCGGGAAACCGGGGCUAAUACCGGAUGGUUGUUUGAACCGCAUGGUUCAAACAUAAAAGGUGGCUUCGGCUACCACUUACAGAUGGACCCGCGGCGCAUUAGCUAGUUUGGUGAGGUAACGGCUCACCAAGGCAACGAUGCGUAGCCGACCUGAGAGGGUGAUCGGCCACACUGGGACUGAGACACGGCCCAGACUCCUACGGGAGGCAGCAGUAGGGAAUCUUCCACAAUGGACGAAAGUCUGACGGAGCAACGCCGCGUGAGUGAUGAAGGUUUUCGGAUCGUAAAGCUCUGUUGUUAGGGAAGAACAAGUACCGUUCGAAUAGGGCGGUACCUUGACGGUACCUAACCAGAAAGCCACGGCUAACUACGUGCCAUCGACCGCGGUAAUACAUAGGUGGCAAGCGUUGUCCGGAAUUAUUGGGCGUAAAGGGCUCGCAGGCGGUUUCAUAACUCUGACGGGACAGCCUCCGGAUCAAACGGU